CGAACGCUGGCGGUGUGCUUAACACAUGCAAGUCGAACGGAAAGGCCCUGCUUUUGUGGGGUGCUCGAGUGGCGAACGGGUGAGUAACACGUGAGUAACCUGCCCUUGACUUUGGGAUAACUUCAGGAAACUGGGGCUAAUACCGGAUAGGAGCUCCUGCUGCAUGGUGGGGGUUGGAAAGUUUCGGCGGUUGGGGAUGGACUCGCGGCUUAUCAGCUUGUUGGUGGGGUAGUGGCUUACCAAGGCUUUGACGGGUAGCCGGCCUGAGAGGGUGACCGGCCACAUUGGGACUGAGAUACGGCCCAGACUCCUACGGGAGGCAGCAGUGGGGAAUAUUGCACAAUGGGCGGAAGCCUGAUGCAGCAACGCCGCGUGCGGGAUGACGGCCUUCGGGUUGUAAACCGCUUUCGCCUGUGACGAAGCGUGAGUGACGGUAAUGGGUAAAGAAGCACCGGCUAACUACGUG
RNAcentral lists this ribosomal RNA (466 nucleotides) under uncultured bacterium. Its description in RNAcentral is "partial 16S ribosomal RNA". It matches the Rfam family "Bacterial small subunit ribosomal RNA", at positions 30 to 507 of the family's 1533-position model. The record is from RNAcentral.